UACGUAGGUGGCAAGCGUUGUUCGGAUUUACUGGGUGUAAAGGGCGUGUAGCCGGGCUGACAAGUCAGAUGUGAAAUCCGGGGGCUCAACCCCCGAACUGCAUUUGAAACUGUUGGUCUUGAGUAUCGGAGAGGCAGGCGGAAUUCCUAGUGUAGCGGUGAAAUGCGUAGAUAUUAGGAGGAACACCAGUGGCGAAGGCGGCCUGCUGGACGACAACUGACGGUGAGGCGCGAAAGCGUGGGGAGCAAACAGG
RNAcentral lists this ribosomal RNA (253 nucleotides) under uncultured bacterium. Its description in RNAcentral is "partial 16S ribosomal RNA". It matches the Rfam family "Bacterial small subunit ribosomal RNA", at positions 524 to 776 of the family's 1533-position model. The record is from RNAcentral.